Molecule: ribosomal RNA, 497 nt
Filed under: uncultured bacterium
Lineage: Bacteria
Description: partial 16S ribosomal RNA
Rfam family: Bacterial small subunit ribosomal RNA
Source: RNAcentral
GACGAACGCUGGCGGCGUGCCUAAUACAUGCAAGUUGAGCGCUGAAGGUUGGUACUUGUACCGACUGGAUGAGCAGCGAACGGGUGAGUAACGCGUGGGGAAUCUGCCUUUGAGCGGGGGACAACAUUUGGAAACGAAUGCUAACACCGCAUAAAAACUUUAAACACAAGUUUUAAGUUUGAAAGAUGCAAUUGCAUCACUCAAAGAUGAUCCCGCGUUGUAUUAGCUAGUUGGUGAGGUAAAGGCUCACCAAGGCGAUGAUACAUAGCCGACCUGAGAGGGUGAUCGGCCACAUUGGGACUGAGACACGGCCCAAACUCCUACGGGAGGCAGCAGUAGGGAAUCUUCGGCAAUGGACGAAAGUCUGACCGAGCAACGCCGCGUGAGUGAAGAAGGUUUUCGGAUCGUAAAACUCUGUUGGUAGAGAAGAACGUUGGUGAGAGUGGAAAGCUCAUCAAGUGACGGUAACUACCCAGAAAGGGACGGCUAACUACGUG